UACGUAGGGUGCAAGCGUUGUCCGGAAUCAUUGGGCGUAAAGCGCGUGUAGGCGGUCCGUUAAGUCCGCUGUCAAAGUCGGGGGCUCAACCCUCGGAUGCCGGUGGAUACUGUCGGGCUUGAGUACGGAAGAGGCGAGUGGAAUUCCUGGUGUAGCGGUGAAAUGCGCAGAUAUCAGGAGGAACACCAAUUGCGAAGGCAGCUCGCUGGGACGUUACUGACGCUGAGACGCGAAAGCGUGGGGAGCAAACAGG
This 253-nucleotide ribosomal RNA is filed under the name uncultured bacterium. Its description in RNAcentral is "partial 16S ribosomal RNA". It matches the Rfam family "Bacterial small subunit ribosomal RNA", at positions 524 to 776 of the family's 1533-position model. The record is from RNAcentral.